CCUACGGGAGGCAGCAGUGGGGAAUAUUGGACAAUGGGGGGAACCCUGAUCCAGCGACGCCGCGUGAGUGAAGAAGUAUUUCGGUAUGUAAAGUUCUAUCAGCAGGGAAGAAAAUGACGGUACCUGACUAAGAAGCCCCGGCUAACUACGUGCCAGCAGCCGCGGUAAUACGUAGGGGGCAAGCGUUAUCCGGAUUUACUGGGUGUAAAGGGAGCGUAGACGGUGUAGCAAGUCAGAUGUGAAAGCUCGGGGCUCAACCCCGGGACUGCAUUUGAAACUGUUGAACUGGAGUGCAGGAGAGGUAAGUGGAAUUCCGAGUGUAGCGGUGAAAUGCGUAGAUAUUAGGAGGAACACCAGUGGCGAAGGCGGCUUACUGGACUGUAACUGACGUUGAGGCUCGAAAGCGUGGGGAGCAAACAGGAUUAGAUACCCCAGUAGUC
Molecule: ribosomal RNA, 440 nt
Filed under: uncultured bacterium
Lineage: Bacteria
Description: partial 16S ribosomal RNA
Rfam family: Bacterial small subunit ribosomal RNA
Source: RNAcentral